AUGGAUGCCCUCCACCUACCUCCCGGGACCCCAGGUCUGGGUAGCUGCCCCUCCAGAGAGAACCCAAGCAUCCGAGGUCCUGGUCACUAUGACCCCUGCUAUUGGGUGGCUUCUAUUUCUGGCUGCAGAGGAAGCCACAGUUCCUGGCAAGUUCGAGUUCCUGACCAUCGUCCCGGCCCACGGAGACAUUUACCUGGACACCUCCUAUUAUUCAUCUGCAAAGUGUCUGGCCGGGAAGUUGAGGCUCGCUUUCGCUGGCUGGGACCUGAUGGGGAGGAGGCGGCUCUUGGAGGGUCCUCCUUCUCGGCUGAGCCCAUCUACGAGGCUUCAGUGGGGCUCCGAGUGACCCUGAGCGAGCCAGGUCAAGGUGGGCCCCUAAAGUGCGUGGCAGAGAUUGGAGAUACUGAGGAGGAGAAGAUGCUCGAGCUCUGGGCCAUCGGGUGUGUGUGUGUGUGUGUGUGUGUGUGUGUGUGUGUGUGUGUGUGUGUAGGGGAAAUGGGGGGAGGAGGGUGGAGACUCGGGAGAUGGAGCACGAAGAGGUUGUGGGGUAAGACUUGGGACACCACUGGGGACACCAGGAAAAUGGGAAAGGCAUAGGACACCCCUGGUUCGGGGAGUUGAGAAAUGGGGAAGAUAACAGAGGUCAGGUUCUGCUAUGAGAAACCCUAGAGAUUGUGAAACAUGGGUGGAACAAGAGAUGUAGGGCAGAAGAUGAAGAAAGGAGAGAUUCCUAUAGAAAAGACCAACAGAACUCCCCCUUUCCAACUUCUUUCCCUUACUUGCCCCUCAGAGAGGCCCCGUAUCCUCGGCCUUAAUCUCAGCCCCACCGUUGCGGAGGAGGGGUCCGUCAGGGAGCUGCAAUGCAAGGUGUCAGGGAUCCCCCAGCCCAACAUUACCUGGGAGCAUCAGGGCUUGGUGCUGGGAGGUAACGGUGAGUAAGGGGCCAGGGACCCAGAUGCCCGGAGACUGGAUGUCUAGCUCCCUGAGGGAGCAGGUAUCUGAAGACAGGACAUUUAGGUCUCUUCUGUAUCCCUGCUGCUCCCUUAGGUCGGGUAUCAGUGCAGGAUGGAACUCUGACCAUCCGGGACCUGGAGCCUUCGGAUGCUGAGGUUUACACUUGCGAGGCGUCCAUAGCCGAGCGCAUGGAGAGCGCGCGGGAGAACGAGAAGCUGAGAGUGACUUGUAAGCGCAGGGCGGGGCGGGGCGGGGCGGGGCGGGGCGGGGUGGGGGAGGGAGAGAGAGAGACAUCUCUGUGUCUUUGUCUGUUUUCCUCUACCUUUCGGGGGCCAGUUCAUCCUCUCACACCCUCCUUUCCUUUCCACCUCACAGUCCGUCCCCGGCUGGAGGGACCCAAGGGGAACGCAGGGGUCUUCUAACCACACUGACCGUAUUGGUGCACGGGGAGCCGUCCCCGGAGCUCGGCCUCUCUUGGAGGGGCAGCCUUCUGCAGGAAGUUCGUCAGGGGGCUCCACACAUACGCACCUUCCAGGUGAGUGUACUGGACACCCUGGUCUUGGGCGGGGGGGGGGUGAGGGGGAGGGGCGCAAGGCGGAAGAGCCCAGUUUCUCGUUCUCUAAAGGCAUCUGCGUCCCCAAGGCGGUGGGAUCUGGGGACCAGGUCCAAGGGCUCAGACACGGGAGCUCCCUUCCCAUUUCCGUCCUGCUGUUUCAGUUCAUCCCUAAGGAGAAGGCAGAUUUCACCCCAAUGAAACUCCUCGCCUCCAAUCCCUUUGGUACCUCGGAGCUGGAGAUCCAGGUGCUGGAAGAAGGUGAGCCCGAGGCUGGAGAUCCGGACCCCUAAGUCUCCUUCCCUUCCUCUCUUGACUUCUCUGAAUCCUUAAGGCAGUGGGGAUGGGGAGCUGGGAACCUGAGUUUCUGAUGGGGUUGAUUUGGAGCUGGGGGUCCGAAUUCCUCAAUCCUUGUUGCCUUUUGACAUCAGUACCAGGACCUUCAAGGACUGAAUUUUGGUGUGACUGGUAGCCUAGAAGCCUGGGUGUCUGGAAGGUGCUGGAGCUGAAGGCCCAGAUGAAGGCCCGAAGGGUUGGGGCAGAACUCGAAAUUAUUGAGGGUGUGGGGAUCCAGGAUAUCAGUGUCCUUAAAGGGAUGAGGACCGGAGGUCUAGGGCUAAUGAUUUCUCCUUUUCCCCGAAGAUCCACCGGUGCAUUUUUCCCCCUUUUUCUCUCUAUCCUCUCCCCACAGUCACCCUCUAGAGUGCUGGGUCCUGGGGCCAUUUCAGGCCUUGCCUUGGCCUUUCUACUCGUUCUGGCCGUAGGAGUAGACGCCCUGUGCUGUCCGGACUUCCCGUUGCUUUAAGAGAGAGCAGUAGAAAAGCCGGUGAGCCAAGGAGAGGGGCUGGAAAGGGGUGGGGGAGGAGGGUGGGAGGGAGACUGCCUCUACUCUCAGCCAGAGGACCCAGGACUGACCCCUGUCUUUUCUCCCUUCAGCAUGUUGCAAAGAUUCUUCCCAAGAAAAGCAUUUCCCCUAAUGUCUCAGGGCUCCAGGCCUGAAUACCGCGGUCUGGCAAUUGGGAAAUUUGGGGAAGAGGUGGAAGGGGGAUGGUUCCAACUCAGAAUAAAGUUGAUUUUAUGGCUUUUCCUGGUCUUU
This is a long non-coding RNA of Phascolarctos cinereus (koala), 2603 nucleotides long. Lineage: Eukaryota; Metazoa; Chordata; Mammalia; Diprotodontia; Phascolarctidae. The record is from Ensembl.